CCCGAGUCACGCCAUCUUCCCUAUCCCACCGCCGUAAUGAAAUCAAAUUGGAAGUUGUAUCUGAGCGAUGAGGAGAUAUCAUACUCGAAAGGCUCACUUUCCUUAUGGUUGGCGCUGCUAAAGGUCGUUUUCCCAUGAUCAAUUGAUGAGUCACUGACGGAGAACACAAAUGGGGCCUCGAUCGGCACGAAGGAGGUCGAACUUAGGUGUGGAAAUGUGGGGGGUCGAGAUUCCACGAUGAACCGACUGCCGAUCUACCCCCUCCCCUUUUGCCAACCAGCGCCCCUGCCUCUUGUGAGGAAGACCAAUAGAUCGAUCCCCUCCUACUAUUUCUAAUUCAAUUUCUAACGAUGAGUCAUCUCUAUUGUGUGAGGAAAUUCGGAAUGAGGUGAUGGUUAGCGGCAAAUUUGUGACGGAGCCGGAAGCCACACAAUCGGUGGUUCGAUUGCCAACCGGAAGUGUUUUUAAAUAAUCUAUAAAUUGUAAAAAUAAGUUUCAAUAAUUUAUAAGCUCUUCAGAAAACAAAUUCUUC
Molecule: long non-coding RNA, 532 nt
Filed under: Salvia miltiorrhiza (redroot sage)
Lineage: Eukaryota; Viridiplantae; Streptophyta; Magnoliopsida; Lamiales; Lamiaceae
Description: long non-coding RNA (SMIL_LNC003966)
Source: RNAcentral